Molecule: ribosomal RNA, 397 nt
Filed under: uncultured bacterium
Lineage: Bacteria
Description: partial 16S ribosomal RNA
Rfam family: Bacterial small subunit ribosomal RNA
Source: RNAcentral
AUACGUAGGGGGCGAGCGUUGUCCGGAAUGAUUGGGCGUAAAGGGCGCGUAGGCGGCCCGGUAAGUCUGGAGUGAAAGUCCUGUUUUUAAGAUGGGAAUUGCUUUGGAUACUGUCGGGCUUGAGUGCAGGAGGGGUAAGUGGAAUUCCCAGUGUAGCGGUGAAAUGCGUAGAGAUUGGGAGGAACACCAGUGGCGAAGGCGACUUACUGGACUGUAACUGACGCUGAGGCGCGAAAGUGUGGGGAGCAAACAGGAUUAGAUACCCUGGUAGUCCACACCGUAAACGAUGAAUGCUAGGUGUAGGGGGUAUCGACCCCUUCUGUGCCGCAGUCAACACAAUAAGCAUUCCGCCUGGGGAGUACGGCCGCAAGGUUGAAACUCAAAUGAAUUGACGGGG